CCCCUAGAUGUUCUGGGCCGCACGCGCGCUACACUGAACAGUUCAACAAGUCUUAACCUUGGCCGAUAGGUCUGGGUAAUCUUUGAACGCUGUUCGUGAUUGGGAUAGACCUUUGCAAUUAUGGGUCUUCAACGAGGAAUUCCUAGUAAGCGCGAGUCAUCAGCUCGUGCUGAUUACGUCCCUGCCCUUUGUACACACCGCCCGUCGCACCUACCGAUUGAAUGGUCCGGUGAAAUCUCGGGACGGCGGCUUGGUCGCUUGCGUCCGACUGCUGAAACUUGAUUAAACCAUAUCAUUUAGAGGAAGGUGAAGUCGUAACA
Molecule: ribosomal RNA, 320 nt
Filed under: uncultured eukaryote
Lineage: Eukaryota
Description: partial 18S ribosomal RNA
Rfam family: Eukaryotic small subunit ribosomal RNA
Source: RNAcentral